ACAAUUUAGUGUCAAUUUGAAUUUUAAUUGUAAAUUUUUUAGGUGGAAUUUUAAAUUUUGUUAAAAUUUUUUAUUUGUUCUGAGGUUGGGAAAUCUUUUGUUAAACUAGGAUUAGAUACCCUAUUAUUUUAGAUGUGAUUAUUUUUCUAGAAUUAUUAUUAGUUAAGUUCUUUAAAAUUAAACAAUUUGGCGGUAUUUUAGUCUAUUCAGAGGAACCUGUUUUUUAAUCGAUGGUCCACGAUAAGUUUUACUUUAGUUUUAAAUUUAUAUAUCGUCGUUAUUAAUAAUUUUAUGAGAAUUUUAAUUUUUGAGAUUUUUUAUUAUAAGUUAGUUCAGAUCAAGGUGUAGUUGAUAUUAAAGUUAAAAUGGGUUACAUUUCAUUUAUGAUUGGUUCUUUUUUUUAAAUUUUUAGAUAAAUUGGAUUUGAUAGUAAAUUCUUUAUUUAGUGGAGUUGAUUUAGCUCUAAAAUAUGCACAUAUCGCCCGU
Molecule: ribosomal RNA, 486 nt
Filed under: Blaps approximans
Lineage: Eukaryota; Metazoa; Arthropoda; Insecta; Coleoptera; Tenebrionidae
Description: partial 12S ribosomal RNA
Source: RNAcentral